Molecule: transfer RNA, 72 nt
Filed under: Decorospora gaudefroyi
Lineage: Eukaryota; Fungi; Ascomycota; Dothideomycetes; Pleosporales; Pleosporaceae
Rfam family: tRNA
About the family: Transfer RNA (tRNA) molecules are approximately 80 nucleotides in length. Their secondary structure includes four short double-helical elements and three loops (D, anti-codon, and T loops). Further hydrogen bonds mediate the characteristic L-shaped molecular structure. tRNAs have two regions of fundamental functional importance: the anti-codon, which is responsible for specific mRNA codon recognition, and the 3' end, to which the tRNAs corresponding amino acid is attached (by aminoacyl-tRNA synthetases). tRNAs cope with the degeneracy of the genetic code in two manners: having more than one tRNA (with a specific anti-codon) for a particular amino acid; and 'wobble' base-pairing, i.e. permitting non-standard base-pairing at the 3rd anti-codon position.
Source: Rfam by way of RNAcentral
GGCCGGUUGGCGCAAUGGUAGCGCGCAGCCCUCCUAAGGCUGAGGCUGUCGGUUCGAGUCCGACAUCGGUCG